AAAGAAAAAUUUAUUUUAUUUUUAUUUUUUAUUUAUUUUAUAAUAAAAAAAUAUUUUUUAGUAAAAAGAAAGAAAAAUUUUAAUAUAAUGAUAGUUUAUUAGUAUUGUGAGAGAAUAUAUUAUUUUUAUAAAAGAAAAAUUUAUUUUUUGUACCUUGUGUAUCAGGGGUUAUUAAUUAAUAAUUAUGUAUUUAUUAUUUUCGAAUUUAAAAGAGCUAAAAAAUUAAAAUUUUUAUUGUAAAAUAAAUAUUUUAAAUAUUUUUUUUGUAAUGAAAUGUUAUUCGUUUUUAAAUAUAUCUAAUUUUUUAAGAAAUAAAUUAAAUUUAUUUAUUAACAAUAUAUUUAUAAUUAAAUAUUUCUAUAUUAUUAAUAUUAAAUAUUUUUAGGGAUGAGCUUAAAAAUAGAAUUUUAUUAAAAUUUGAUUUUUAAAUAAAAAUUAGGAUUAAAAAUUUUCAUAUUUUAAAGUAUGUUAUUAUUUAUUUUUAUAUAUUAUUAUUUUUAUUUUUUAUAAAUUUUUUAUUAAAAUAUAAAUUUAAAUUAUUUAAAUUUAGUAAUGAUGAUAAUAUUAGUAUUAUAAAAUUGUAUAUUUAAUAGAAAUAUAUAGGUUAAAUAAAGGAAUUCGGCAAUAUUUUUUUCACCUGUUUAAUAAAAACAUGUCUUUUUGUAUUAAAUAUGAAGUCUCGCCUGCCCACUGAUUAAUUUGAAUGGCCGCGGUAUUUUGACCGUGCUAAGGUAGCAUAAUCAUUAGUUUUUUUAUUGAAAGCUGGAAUGAAGGGUUGGAUGAAAAAAAAACUGUCUUUAUUUAAUUUAAAAAGAAUUUUAUUUUUAAGUUAAAAAGCUUAAAUUUUUUUAAAAGACGAGAAGACCCUUUAGAGUUUAAUAAAAUUAUUAAUAAUUUUUUUUAGUAUUAAAUUUAUUUAUAUAAUAAAUUUAUUUAAUUGGGGUGAUUAAAAAAUAAAUUUAACUUUUUUUAUAUUAUUAUAUUAAUUAAUAAUUUUUUGAUCCAAUUUUUUUGAUUAUAAGAUUAAAUUACCUUAGGGAUAACAGCGUAAUUUUAUUGGAGAGUUCAAAUCGAUAAUAAAGAUUGCGACCUCGAUGUUGGAUUAAAGUUUAUAAUUGGUGCAGAAGCUAUAUUAUUAAGUCUGUUCGACUUUUAAAAUUUUACAUGAUCUGAGUUUAAACCGGUGUAAGCCAGGUUGGUUUCUAUCUUUAAUUUGUUAAUAUAUUUUAGUACGAAAGGACCAAAUAUA
Molecule: ribosomal RNA, 1249 nt
Filed under: Diabrotica barberi (northern corn rootworm)
Lineage: Eukaryota; Metazoa; Arthropoda; Insecta; Coleoptera; Chrysomelidae
Description: 16S ribosomal RNA
Rfam family: Archaeal large subunit ribosomal RNA (bases 1039-1197)
Source: RNAcentral